ACAAACUAGCUCCAAGAGAAGACAAACUGACAGAAUUCUAAUCGGUUCAAUUUCUUCUCCCAAAACCACACAUCCAUUUUGAAAUUUGACUCAGUUACACGAUCGAUUUCCAAUUCCGUGAUUUCCUAACCAACAUCUCCAUUAACAAGAUCAAGACAAACCUCGUAUGGCUAUAGAUCAAUGGAAAGAUAAAGUUUUGGAAUAAUCGCCCCCGUAUCUACGUUUAAUCGUUGAGGUGCUGGUCUUGAAUGUCCUAUCGAUGGUUGAGGUUCGGCAUGUGUUGCAGAUACUCCACAACUCGUGAGCAGCAUCGUGUAGCUAAGUUUCGACCUACAGCUCGUGUGAGCAGGCCUGUUUUCAUAGCUCGUGCAAGCGUACUUAUUCACAGCUCGUGUGAGCAUACAUGUAUAGGAAUUGACGGAUUACAGUUAUAUGAGUUAACAAACUUUGUGUGUGAGCUAUCCCGGGUAUCCAACUAUAUUCUAAACAGUUCAACAGGCAUGAUCUGUAAGAAAUGGUAAGAGUUCGAUACGAACUAAGAUAUGAACAUGUGUGAAUUGUGUUGAAUUUGUGAUACAUGAAUUAACGAAAGUUGAGAUGGAUGAUAUUUGUAUUGUUACAUGAUUAACUGUUCUGAUCAUCCAUAAGUAAAUUACUUAUGUUUUAUGCUUA
This is a long non-coding RNA of Gossypium raimondii (Peruvian cotton), 672 nucleotides long. RefSeq lists it as uncharacterized. NCBI's taxonomy places the organism in Eukaryota, Viridiplantae, Streptophyta, Magnoliopsida, Malvales, Malvaceae. The record is from RefSeq and is a predicted model, not a curated record. The transcript has 3 exons.